UACAGAGGUCCCAAGCGUUGUUCGGAUUCACUGGGCGUAAAGGGUGCGUAGGUGGCGUGGUAAGUUUGAUGUGAAAGCUCAGGGCUUAACCCUGAAAUGGCAUUGAAUACUACUGUGCUGGAGGUUUGGAGGGGGGACUGGAAUUCUUGGUGUAGCAGUGAAAUGCGUAGAUAUCGGGAGGAACACCUAUGGCGAAGGCAGCUCGCUGGGACGUUACUGACGCUGAGACGCGAAAGCGUGGGGAGCAAACAGG
This 253-nucleotide ribosomal RNA is filed under the name uncultured bacterium. RNAcentral describes it as "partial 16S ribosomal RNA". It matches the Rfam family "Bacterial small subunit ribosomal RNA", at positions 524 to 776 of the family's 1533-position model. The record is from RNAcentral.